RNAcentral lists this ribosomal RNA (252 nucleotides) under uncultured bacterium. Its description in RNAcentral is "partial 16S ribosomal RNA". It matches the Rfam family "Bacterial small subunit ribosomal RNA", at positions 80 to 334 of the family's 1533-position model. The record is from RNAcentral.
UUUCUUUGCUGGCGACCGGCGCACGGUGAGUAACACGUAUUCAACCUGCCCUUUACUCGGGGAUAGCCUUUCGAAAGAAAGAUUAAUACCCGAUAGCAUAAUGAUUCCGCAUGGUUUCAUUAUUAAAGGAUUCCGGUAAAGGAUGGGGAUGCGUUCCAUUAGGUUGUUGGUGAGGUAACGGCUCACCAAGCCUUCGAUGGAUAGGGGUUCUGAGAGAAAGGUCCCCCACAUUGGAACUGAGACACGGUCCAA